This 1233-nucleotide ribosomal RNA is filed under the name metagenome. Its description in RNAcentral is "bacterial LSU rRNA". It matches the Rfam family "Bacterial large subunit ribosomal RNA", at positions 1564 to 2808 of the family's 2925-position model. The record is from RNAcentral.
UGAAUACGAGAUGCUACGGCGUCGAAGCAGUCUAUGUCAUACUUCCAAGAAAAGCUCGCACUGUCAUAAACAAAUAAUGCCUGUACCAUAACCGACACAGGUGGGUAGGUAGAGUAUACUAAGGGGCGCGAGAUAACUCUCUCUAAGGAACUCGGCAAAAUGACUCCGUAACUUCGGGAGAAGGAGUGCCUUAUUUAUAAGGUUGCAAUAACAAGAUCCAAGCAACUGUUUAUCAAAAACACAGGUCUCCGCUAAGUCGUAAGACGAUGUAUGGGGGCUGACGCCUGCCCAGUGCCAGAAGGUUAAAGAAGUUGGUUAGCAUUCGCGAAGCUGAUAACUGAAGCCCUGGUGAACGGCGGCCGUAACUAUAACGGUCCUAAGGUAGCGAAAUUCCUUGUCGGGUAAGUUCCGACCCGCACGAAAGGCGUAUGAUUUGGAUACUGUCUCGGAGAGGGGCUCGGUGAAAUAGACUUGUCUGUGAAGAUGCGGACUACCUGCACCAGGACAGAAAGACCCUAUGAAGCUUUACUGUAACUUGAGAUUGAAAUUGGACUUUACUUGCGCAGUAUAGGUGGGAGGCGUUGAUAAUAUUCUUGCGGGAUUAUUUGAGCCAUCAGUGAGAUACCACUCUUGUAAUGUUAGAUUUCUAACUUUGUAUCAUUAUCUGGUCAAAGGACAGUUUCAGGCGGGCAGUUUGACUGGGGCGGUCGCCUCCUAAACGGUAACGGAGGCGCACAAAGGUUUCCUCUGAACGGGUAGAAAUCGUAUCUAGAGUGUAAAGGCAUAAGGAAGCUUGACUGUGAGACCUACAAGUCGAGCAGGGACGAAAGUCGGUCUUAGUGAUCUGACGGUGCUGAGUGGAAAGGCCGUCACUCAACGGAUAAAAGUUACUCUAGGAUAACAGGCUGAUCUCCCCCAAGAGUUCACAUCGACGGGGAGGUUUGGCACCUCGAUGUCGGCUCAUCGCAUCCUGGGGCGGUAGUACGUCCCAAGGGUUGGGCUGUUCGCCCAUGAAAGCGGUACGCGAGCUGGGUUCAGAACGUCGUGAGACAGUUCGGUCCAUAUCCGGUGUAGGCGUUAGAAUAUUGAGAGGAGCCUUCUUUAGUACGAGAGGACCGAGAAGGACAUACCUCUGGUGUACCAGUUAUCGUGCCAACGGUAAACGCUGGGUAGCUAUGUAUGGAGUGGAUAACCGCUGAAAGCAUCUAAGUGGGAAGCCCACCUCAAGAUAAG